This 301-nucleotide ribosomal RNA is filed under the name uncultured bacterium. Its description in RNAcentral is "partial 16S ribosomal RNA". It matches the Rfam family "Bacterial small subunit ribosomal RNA", at positions 509 to 807 of the family's 1533-position model. The record is from RNAcentral.
CAGCCGCCGCGGGAAAACGUAGGGUGCGAGCGUUAAUCGGAAUUACUGGGCGUAAAGCGUGCGCAGGCGGUUUUGUAAGACAGGCGUGAAAUCCCCGGGCUCAACCUGGGAAUGGCGCUUGUGACUGCAAAGCUAGAGUGCGGCAGAGGGGGAUGGAAUUCCGCGUGUAGCAGUGAAAUGCGUAGAGAUGUGGAGGAACACCGAUGGCGAAGGCAGCCCCCUGGGCCAAUACUGACGCUCAUGCACGAAAGCGUGGUGAGCAAACAGGAUUAGAUACCCGCGUAGUCCCUGUCUCUUAUAC